This 258-nucleotide ribosomal RNA is filed under the name Triticum aestivum (bread wheat). RNAcentral describes it as "partial small subunit ribosomal RNA". The record is from RNAcentral. Lineage: Eukaryota; Viridiplantae; Streptophyta; Magnoliopsida; Poales; Poaceae.
AUGUCUGCCGUCACAUCAUGCUUGGCGGCGAGGUCCAACAUCUCCUGGGUGUCCUUCAUGCCGCCGAUGCAGCUCCCGGCCAGGGUCUUGUUCACUGGGGAGAUCUCCAUAGGCUUCUCUGGGAGGCCAACCAUGAUCAUCUUGCCGUUGGGUUUCAGUAGCCCCAAGAGAGGAGCCAUGGGGAUGUUUGCAGACACCGUGUUUAUGAUGCCAUCCAUGCAUUUUCGCAUACCUUCAUCUCCUCGGCAUCCUUGCUGA